Molecule: ribosomal RNA, 119 nt
Filed under: Pteropus alecto (black flying fox)
Lineage: Eukaryota; Metazoa; Chordata; Mammalia; Chiroptera; Pteropodidae
Source: RNAcentral
GUCUACAGCCAUGCCACCCUAAACAAGCCCGAUCCCGUUUGAUCUCAGAAGCUAAGCAUGGUUGGACCUGGUUAGUACUUGGAUGGGAGAUCACCUAGAAAGACCAGGUGCUGUAGGCA